Molecule: ribosomal RNA, 515 nt
Filed under: uncultured bacterium
Lineage: Bacteria
Description: partial 16S ribosomal RNA
Rfam family: Bacterial small subunit ribosomal RNA
Source: RNAcentral
GAUGAACGCUGGCGGCGUGCCUAAUACAUGCAAGUCGAGCGAAUGGAUUAAGAGCUUGCUCUUAUGAAGUUAGCGGCGGACGGGUGAGUAACACGUGGGUAACCUGCCCAUAAGACUGGGAUAACUCCGGGAAACCGGGGCUAAUACCGGAUAACAUUUUGAACCGCAUGGUUCGAAAUUGAAAGGCGGCUUCGGCUGUCACUUAUGGAUGGACCCGCGUCGCAUUAGCUAGUUGGUGAGGUAACGGGUCACCAAGGCAACGAUGCGUAGCCGACCUGAGAGGGUGGUCGGCCACACUGAGACUGGGACACGGCCCAGACUCCUGCGGGAGGCAGCAGUAGGGAAUCUUCCGCAAUGGACGAAAGUCUGACGGCGCAACGCCGCGGGGGUGAUGAAGGCUUUCGGGUCGUAAAACUCUGUUGUUAGGGAAGAACAAGUGCUAGUUGAAUAAGCUGGCACCUUGACGGUACCUAACCAGAAAGCCACGGCUAACUACGUGCCAGCAGCCGCCGUAA